CCUACGGGGGGCAGCAGUGAGGAAUAUUGGUCAAUGGACGAGAGCCUGAACCAGCCAAGUAGCGUGAAGGAUGACUGCCCUAUGGUUUGUAAACCUCUUUUAUAAGGGAAUAAAAUGUUGCACGUGUGGGAUUUCGUAUGUACCAUAUGAAUAAGGAUCGGCUAACUCCGUGCCAGCAGCCGCGGUAAUACGGAGGAUCCGAGCGUUAUCCGGAUUUAUUGGGUUUAAAGGGAGCGUAGAUGGGUUGUUAAGUCAGUUGUGAAAGUUUGCGGCUCAACCGUAGAAUUGCAGUUGAUACUGGCAGCCUUGAGUACAGUUGAGGUAGGCGGAAUUCGUGGUGUAGCGGUGAAAUGCGUAGAUAUCACGAAGAACUCCGAUUGCGAAGGCAGCUUGCUAAGCUGCCACUGACGUUGAUGCUCGAAAGUGUGGGUAUCAAACAGGAUUAGAUACCCGGGUAGUC
RNAcentral lists this ribosomal RNA (460 nucleotides) under uncultured bacterium. Its description in RNAcentral is "partial 16S ribosomal RNA". It matches the Rfam family "Bacterial small subunit ribosomal RNA", at positions 338 to 795 of the family's 1533-position model. The record is from RNAcentral.